CAGCAAUUAAAGGAGCAAUCCGCUAUGAGAUGGGCCCGCGGCGCAUUAGCUAGUUGGUGAGGUAACGGCUCACCAAGGCGACGAUGCGUAGCCGACCUGAGAGGGUGAUCGGCCACAUUGGGACUGAGACACGGCCCAGACUCCUACGGGAGGCAGCAGUGGGGAAUAUUGCACAAUGGGGAAACCCUGAUGCAGCAACGCCGCGUGAGUGAUGACGGCCUUCGGGUUGUAAAGCUCUGUCUUCAGGGACGAUAAUGACGGUACCUGAGGAGGAAGCCACGGCUAACUACGUG
RNAcentral lists this ribosomal RNA (293 nucleotides) under uncultured bacterium. RNAcentral's name for it is "partial 16S ribosomal RNA". It matches the Rfam family "Bacterial small subunit ribosomal RNA", at positions 195 to 507 of the family's 1533-position model. The record is from RNAcentral.